GUCUAAAUUUCAAACUUUGUUUGGUAAUGGAAAUUAAUGACGGUUAGGUUCACACCACCAAACAAAGUUUGGAAUUUAAA
Molecule: non-coding RNA, 80 nt
Organism: Puccinia sorghi
Lineage: Eukaryota; Fungi; Basidiomycota; Pucciniomycetes; Pucciniales; Pucciniaceae
Source: the annotation of a GenBank genome assembly